This 2426-nucleotide long non-coding RNA is filed under the name Canis lupus familiaris (dog). RNAcentral describes it as "lncRNA (ENSCAFG00845031002.1)". Lineage: Eukaryota; Metazoa; Chordata; Mammalia; Carnivora; Canidae. The record is from RNAcentral.
GGAGAGUCUUUAAUCUUGUUUUGCUAUUGGUGUAUACUGUUCGGGAAAAUUCUCCUGCAAUUCUUGGCCAAUUAAUCCCCCACAAAAACAUGAGAAUGCCUUCUGCUGGCGCCUUUGUACACAGUCAAAGGAAUGAUAUUCACGCUUAAAGAUAGUUGAGAUCAGACACAAAGGGUUAAUCCCAAUGAGCAGACAGCGCGAUUUCUGAUUGAACAAAGAACACUUUAUUGAGUGCUGCCUGGGUGCGGGGAGAAGAGCGGGAUGACCCAGAUGGGAGGCAAGAUCCUCCUGGAGGUCCUGAGGUUCCGGGCCCCCUUCGGUGGGCGGGGCCGUCGGGAACCUAAGAGCACUCUGCGGGGGCCACCUUCUUCUCCACGGUGCUCCCCUCGUGCGUGACCAGGCAGCUGAAGCUGCUGUGAGAUUUCCACUUGUCAGGCGUCAGGCUCAGGUAGCUGCUGGCCGCGUACUUGUUGUUGCUCUGCUUGGAGGGCUUGGUGGUCUCCACGCCCUGGGUGACGGGGCUGCCGUCUGCCUUCCAGGCCACCGUCACACCGCUGGGGUAGAAGUCGCUGAUGAGGCACACCAGGGUGGCCUUGUUGGCGCCGAGCUCCUCAGAGGAGGGCGGGAAGAGUGUGACCGAGGGGGAGAAGUCGCUGAUGAGGCACACCAGGGUGGCCUUGUUGGCGCCGAGCUCCUCAGAGGAGGGCGGGAAGAGUGUGACCGAGGGGGAGGCCUUGGGCUGACCUGUGGGGAUGGAAGGACAGCGGGUCAAGGCAGAUGUUUGUUGUGUCAGCAACUGCCUCAUUCUUGGUGUGGGGGUACAGCUGUGUCAUAUCCAUGACCCAGGCCUCCCGUGGACCUCAUUCCCCGAGGUAAUGGUAGCCAUGGAUAGUUAGUUCCCUCACCUUCUGAGGUGAGAAUGUGAGUGCCAGAUUCUCUAGUUUCUGGUCCCUCCCAUGUCCUUAGGCUGUCUGCACGUCACGUAUACUUCGUGUCCACCCAGUGUGCUCCCAGUACUGGUGGGGGUACAGGGGCCCUGAGAUCCUGUUUCCCUUCUGAACCUGAGUGUCCUUGGCCAUUGGUCUCCAUGUGACUACACCCGUGUCACUUACCCGUGAUUUCCUAGAGCCUGCCAUUCUCGGUGACAGGGCUCUGUUCUUACCAUGUGAACAAUAGGUUUCCCGUCCCCAGACUGUCUCACAUCUUCACAGCAGCCUUCCCCGCCUCCCUACCAAUCCCGCACUAGAGCCCUUGAAGUUGUAAGCGCAAUGAGGUCCUGGGCCUCGGUCCAGGAGGUACAGGAGACAGAAUGGAUUUGUAUGAAUGAAUUUUCAAAAUGCAGCUGGGAUUUUGUUUGAUCUGAGGGUGUCCCCUGACCCAUGAAGUUAUCCUAGUGCAUCUGUCUGUCCUUGGAUUUCUGAGUGCUGUGUAGGCAAUGUCCCUGUUCUGCGUUCCUAUCAUCCCCCCUGACCCAAAUUUCUGCUCAUUGGCUUUUAAGCCUCGGAGAGCUGUGUAGGGAUGGACCCCUGCUACCUGAGUGUCUCGAGGCCUCCUUGGGUGCGUGACGGUCCAUUCUUGGUGUGUGUUCUCUCCCCCUAGGUGGUGGAUGGUCCUACCGCAUUGGGCUCCCUUAUCUGAAGUCCUCACCUUAUUCUUGACCCUGAGCUGUACUUUGCCUUCCUUGUCUCUAAGUCCCCAUGCCUAGUGUCUCCUCCCUGAGCUUCACACAGACUCUGGCUGGGAUUCCCGCCACACGCAGAGAGAGAGCAAGCGCCUUGGCAGGCCCCAGAAUCCUUCCAUAAUCCCAUGGCCCUGCUUACAGCUCAAGUAUCCCUCUUCCUAUCCUUCACCAUCAUUUCCCUCAGAUUCUUGAAGUCAAAGGCCCAGAGUGGGGAGUCACAGAUGCCCAAGUCCAGGGGAGAAGUUUCCCUCAUGGGGAGAGAGCUCGACCCCCAGGGAAGCCUGAGUGUAGAUCAGGGGCUGCUUCCCUGAGGCACCGAAUGGACCUCUGACAAGGUGGGAGCAAUGGAGGAAUGAGGAGCAGAGCAAGGGGACCAAAAGUACAGACCCACAGACCUUCAGCCUCAGCCCGCAUCAGGAUUGAAAGGAGACAAAUAUUGCCAGAAAUUGUAGUGCGGAGGUGAAAGAGGAGAGAAAGGGGGAGACUCACCGAGGACGGUCAGAUGGGUGCCUCCGCCGAACACACUACACUGUGAUACAGCCUCGAUCACAAACCCUCUGUCAGCCCCUCCUCCCCUUACCCAGGCCACCUGCAGGUGCUCGGGAGGCCCAAAGGGCAGCCUCCUUGUCACGGGUGCUGGUCAGGCUGAAUGGGAGUGGGGUGAUGAGGGCGUAGCCACUGAGGACCAGGAAUUUCAUUUCCAUGGAGGGUUCAUGUUCCUUCCAUCCCAAGUCCCAGUGUGAGG